CGCCAGACUCCUACGGGAGGCAGCAGUGAGGAAUAUUGGUCAAUGGGCUUACGCCUGAACCAGCCAAGUCGCGUGAGGGAAGACUGCCCUAUGGGUUGUAAACCUCUUUUGUCAGGGAGCAACGCCGGCUACGUGUAGCCGGACUGAGAGUACCUGAAGAAAAAGCAUCGGCUAACUCCGUGCCAGCAGCCGCGGUAAUACGGAGGGUGCAAGCGUUAUCCGGAUUUAUUGGGUUUAAAGGGUGCGCAGGCGGAGGUGCAAGUCAGUGGUCAAAUUGCGGGGCUCAACCCCGUACUGCCGUUGAAACCGGAGCGCUAGAAUUCCGAUGCCGUCGGAGGAAUGUGUGGUGUAGCGGUGAAAUGCAUAGAUAUCACGCAGAACCCCGAUUGCGAAGGCAGCAUACCGGUGCACAACUGACGCUCAGGCACGAAAGCGUGGGUAUCGAACAGGAUUAGAUACCCCCGUA
This 466-nucleotide ribosomal RNA is filed under the name uncultured bacterium. Its description in RNAcentral is "bacterial SSU rRNA". It matches the Rfam family "Bacterial small subunit ribosomal RNA", at positions 329 to 792 of the family's 1533-position model. The record is from RNAcentral.